AUACGUAGGGAGCGAGCGUUGCUCGGAAUUACUGGGUGUAAAGGGAGCGUAGGCGGGAGCGCAAGUCAGAUGUGAAAUACAUGGGCUCAACCCAUGGGCUGCAUUUGAAACUGCAUUUCUUCAGUGAUGUCGAGGAAAGAGGAAUUCCUGGUGUCGCGGUGAAACGCGUAGAUAUCAGGAGGAACACCGGUGGCGAAGGCGGCUUACUGGGCUUUUACUGACGCUGAGGCUCGAAAGCGUGGGGAGCAAACAGGAUUAGAUACCCUGGUAGUCCACGCUGUAAACGAUGAUUACUAGGUGUGGGGGGACUGACCCCUUCCGUGCCGCAGUUAACACAAUAAGUAAUCCACCUGGGGAGUACGGCCGCAAGGUUGAAACUCAAAUGAAUUGACGGGG
RNAcentral lists this ribosomal RNA (396 nucleotides) under uncultured bacterium. RNAcentral describes it as "partial 16S ribosomal RNA". It matches the Rfam family "Bacterial small subunit ribosomal RNA", at positions 523 to 918 of the family's 1533-position model. The record is from RNAcentral.